GUCUAUGGCCAUACUCCUCUGAACAUGCCUGAUCUGAUCUGAUCUCAGAAGCUAAGCACGGUUGGGCCUGGUUAGUACUUGAACAGGAGAACAAACUGAUGGUUACAGAGG
Molecule: ribosomal RNA, 111 nt
Organism: Vulpes vulpes (red fox)
Lineage: Eukaryota; Metazoa; Chordata; Mammalia; Carnivora; Canidae
Source: Ensembl